RNAcentral lists this ribosomal RNA (305 nucleotides) under uncultured bacterium. Its description in RNAcentral is "bacterial SSU rRNA". It matches the Rfam family "Bacterial small subunit ribosomal RNA", at positions 336 to 658 of the family's 1533-position model. The record is from RNAcentral.
UUCCUACGGGAGGCAGCAGUGGGGAAUAUUGCACAAUGGGGGAAACCCUGAUGCAGCAACGCCGCGUGAGUGAAGAAGUAUUUCGGUAUGUAAAGCUCUAUCAGCAGGGAAGAAGAUGACGGUACCUGACCAAGAAGCCCCAGCUAACUACGUGCCAGCAGCCGCGGUAAUACGUAGGGGGCAAGCGUUAUCCGGAUUUACUGGGUGUAAAGGGAGCGUAGACGGCUAUGCAAGUCUGGAGUGAAAGGCGGGGGCCCAACCCCCGGACUGCUCUGGAAACUGUAGAGCUAGAGUGCAGGAGAGGG